UCGAUGGUCCUUUGAAUAUAUAUAUCCACUUUAUAAAUUUGUUUGCCAAGAUCCAAAAUGCCCUACUCAUUAAAGAAUAUGUCGAAAAUCCUUCGAAUAUAUACCCACUUUAUAAAAAAACUAAUGAUAUGGUAGCGACCAAACAUCGGUCGUUUACACAUUGUUUGCACUGGUUGAAUACUACAUGCAGCAUCUUGUGCUCCCCAGUUCAUCCCCUCCUCCGACUCUUGUGACCCCCUCCAAGGCUAAUCUAUCCUCCACCCCGCACACCGUCACACGUGUCGCCCCACCCCACCCUGCCCACAGAUGUUAGAAAUUUAAUCUCGCAAUCUUAAAUACUAUAUGAAAGUCAACAACUUAAAAUCAAAAUAAUAGGUUGGAUCCUUGCUUAACAAUAAGACUGGUAGCUACCAUUGUUGGGUAAUCUGCAUAUAUUUGUGAUAUAUAUGCAGCAGUCAACACAGACCUACACAAAGGUAAAUUCAUUAUAACCAUUAAAAAAUGAUGUAGAUUGUCUAAUGUGGAAUAGAUCACAUGAUAUGUUCUCUUUUUAUGGAAGUCCGUCGGUGGCCUAAAAGAACUUCAUUAUGACCAUUUCUUGUUUAAAAAAUUGAUAUAUCCGACAUCUAAGAAGAUCAGCACAUAAUACUGUAUGCAUCUGUUUGAGCUAGUGAUGCAGCUCAGCAAGUAGAUUGCAUAUGUCUGCUGCUUUUGUUUCACUUUGCUAAUUUUUUAUGUGCAAAACCAAUUUAUCUGUAUAUCAAAGACCAAUUUUCACUGUAUAUUUUGGAACUUACCACAAAUCGCAGGUCGAAUACGUGGCGCCAUGUCGGGGAAAUGACACCUAUGGAUCACUGGGAUCCCUUCUACGGUUGGCGGGCGCAGGGUUGUGAGAAGAGCAGGUCUAAUAGGAAGCACACAGAUCGUUUACCCAGGUUCGGGCCGCGAGGAUGCGUAACACCCUAGUCCUGCUUUGGUGGAUGUAUUGAGUGUUCUUGUGUUCUUGAGCUAGCUACGAGGGUGUAACUUGCCCAAAAGAGCCGAAUCCUUCUCCUGGUCGCCUCGGGCCUCCUUUUAUAGGCAAAAGGGGUCGUCACAGUGGCACACAGGAAGUGGAAAGGUGUACAGCGCGCGAGCUUAUCGCCCGGCGUUACGAGACAAAGUGCAUUAAAUGCGCUACUUAGGUGUCCAUUAGCUUUAUCAGGGACGGGAACGAGGCCCGUCCCUUCCGUCGCCGCUCCGCCCUGCUUCGACACGCGCCCAGGCCAGCGAUGCAUGCGGUGCCAUGUAGGCAGGCAGGCAGCUUAGGUGGCGCGGUGGCAGGGCAUUCACAAAGAUCUGCAUGCCACCACGCAGGUGCUUGCUGAGUUGGUGUAGAGGCCACUCGUCGCCACGCAGGUGCCUGCCCCGCUGGUUGAGCUAGCUGCUGCUUGGGGAACGGCGGUGGAGUCUUGACUGGUGCGGGCCUGGCAAUGGCCCUGCUGAUGCCCUCGGCAAGGGUCUUGCCGGGGGCUCGACAAGGGUCUUGCCGUGGCGUGGCAGUCGUUCUGGCAAGGCGCUUGCCGGGGGUCUUGUGGAUCUCCUCGGCUAGGAUCCCGCUGAGGGUCGCCGUCUUGUGGUCCUCAUCUGAUCUUGUGUGUUCAUGAUCUUGACGAAGAUCUGUAUGCCACCAAAGAGGCGCCUCCCGAGCCCUGGUUCCAAUGUAGUUGGUUGGCUGGUGUUGGAACCCACGGGCUCUAGGGUGGCCUGCUCUGCUGGCAUCGGGCAAGUUGCCCCGGCAAGGCUCUUGCCGGGGCCGCGGAGAAAUGCUUGUCCUUUCAAUCGUACAAAAAAUUAUUUGGACAAUAAUCUGACCUACUUGUCCUGAAGCAUUGCCACUCGCAUGUUCUGGUGGCUCCGCAGUCACCUCGUCACGCCCAUGAGUACUCAGACCGUCACACCAUUUAGAUUCAUCUUCAGAAAAAAAAACUCUCUUUUAGUAAUGCAGAGCACAUUCCAAUCUAAAAACUAAAUCACGAACUCUGCAUUUUCUGCUAAUCUAAUACUCCCCAUAAUGGUCUCCCCCCAUCCCAACUUCGUGAAUUACUUAAUGACCUGCAUCAACAAAAAUACUGUGUCUACAACUCUUCAUUCAUUAGUUUAGAUUUCACUCUAAACCUGGAACAGUAUGAAUCUGCAUACCUUCUCAUCAUCCCAGGAACCCUCCCUUCCAGCAAUCACCACGGCAUCCAUAUCAUAGAACUGAUGGGUUUGUGAUUGUAUUUAUGACAUUUUUACGCUGAAAAGAACACAAUAAUACAGGUCAUAGUAUAAGAAAAUUACAAUACAUGGAAGCAUGUCAACUUCUGAUACUGUUUCAGUUAAAUUUUACUAAGGUAGAAAUAAAGCUCACAUAGUUAUCCACGAAAUUUUGUAGUUCAAACUGAGCCUUAGCAUCACCGCUUGUAUAGAAAAAGUCGCAUCAACAGUUAUUUUCAUGAAG
This 2482-nucleotide long non-coding RNA is filed under the name Triticum aestivum (bread wheat). RNAcentral's name for it is "long non-coding RNA (TAES_LNC023991)". Lineage: Eukaryota; Viridiplantae; Streptophyta; Magnoliopsida; Poales; Poaceae. The record is from RNAcentral.